CAGUAGGCUAACUAAAGCAGACGAUUGGAAGAGUCUGUCUAAGCAGUGAGGUGUGAAUUGAGUCAAAUGCUUAAUUCUAUAACAUUGAGCUGUGAUGGGGAGCGAAGUUUAGUAGCGAAGUUAGUGACGUCACACUGCCAAGAAAAGCUUCUAGCGUUUAAACAUACUCUACCCGUACCGCAAACCGACACAGGUAGUCGAGGCGAGUAGCCUCAGGUGAGCGAGAGAACUCUCGUUAAGGAACUCGGCAAAAUGACCCCGUAACUUCGGGAGAAGGGGUGCUGACUUUAAGUCAGCCGCAGUGAAUAGGCCCAAGCAACUGUUUAUCAAAAACAC
RNAcentral lists this ribosomal RNA (336 nucleotides) under Klebsiella pneumoniae. Its description in RNAcentral is "partial 23S ribosomal RNA". It matches the Rfam family "Bacterial large subunit ribosomal RNA", at positions 1475 to 1816 of the family's 2925-position model. The record is from RNAcentral. Lineage: Bacteria; Pseudomonadati; Pseudomonadota; Gammaproteobacteria; Enterobacterales; Enterobacteriaceae.